UUUGGAUUUUGGUUUUUGGUUUUGCUGUAAUUUUUUUAUUUUUCAAAAAUUAAUUAAUACAUUCCUUUAAAAUAAUACAACAAAAUAGCAAUAAAUAUUUAGAUUUUACAAUGAAAAUUUAUCAAAAUACUGUAUUAUUAUUUUAAAAUAAAUUAAAAUAACAUAUUUUAAUUAUUAUAUUUUUAUCAAAAUAUAUUAUAGUGAAAUAUAAAUCAUAAAAUAUAUAUAAAUUACACCAAAAAUAUUAAAUUUUGAAACUACUUAGAAACUUUUCUUAUAUAAAUU
This 285-nucleotide long non-coding RNA is filed under the name Brassica rapa (field mustard). Its description in RNAcentral is "long non-coding RNA (BRAP_LNC001212)". The record is from RNAcentral. Lineage: Eukaryota; Viridiplantae; Streptophyta; Magnoliopsida; Brassicales; Brassicaceae.